GAAGCACCAAUUUGUAAGUCGCUCUGGAUAAGAGCGUCUGCUAAAUGACUUAAA
This is a non-coding RNA of Salmo salar (Atlantic salmon), 54 nucleotides long. NCBI's taxonomy places the organism in Eukaryota, Metazoa, Chordata, Actinopteri, Salmoniformes, Salmonidae. The record is from Rfam.